CGGGUGAGUAACGCGUGAUAACCUGCCUCACACUGGGGGAUAACAGUUAGAAAUGACUGCUAAUACCGCAUGAGCGCACAGUACCGCAUGGUACGGUGUGAAAAACUCCGGUGGUGUGAGAUGGAUCCGCGUCUGAUUAGCCAGUUGGCGGGGUAACGGCCCACCAAAGCGACGAUCAGUAGCCGACCUGAGAGGGUGACCGGCCACAUUGGGACUGAGACACGGCCCAA
Molecule: ribosomal RNA, 230 nt
Filed under: uncultured bacterium
Lineage: Bacteria
Description: partial 16S ribosomal RNA
Rfam family: Bacterial small subunit ribosomal RNA
Source: RNAcentral